Molecule: ribosomal RNA, 465 nt
Filed under: uncultured bacterium
Lineage: Bacteria
Description: partial 16S ribosomal RNA
Rfam family: Bacterial small subunit ribosomal RNA
Source: RNAcentral
GACGAACGCUGGCGGCGUGCUUAACACAUGCAAGUCGUACGGUAAGGCCCUUUCGGGGGUCCACGAGUGGCGAACGGGUGAGUAACACGUGAGUAACCUGCCCACAACUUUGGGAUAACGCUAGGAAACUGGGGCUAAUACUGGAUAUGUGCCCCUGCUGCAUGGUGGGGGUUGGAAAGCUCCGGCGGUUGUGGAUGGACUCGCGGCCUAUCAGCUUGUUGGUGGGGUAGUGGCCUACCAAGGCGGCGACGGGUAGCCGGACUGUGAGGGUGACCGGCCACAUUGGGACUGAGAUACGGCCCAGACUCCUACGGGAGGCAGCAGUGGGGAAUAUUGCACAAUGGGCGCAAGCCUGAUGCAGCAACGCCGCGUGCGGGAUGACGGCCUUCGGGUUGUAAACCGCUUUCAGCAGGGACGAAGCUUUUUGUGACGGUACCUGCAGAAGAAGCACCGGCUAACUACGUG